UUUUCGUUUCCUGGGUCU
Molecule: transfer RNA, 18 nt
Filed under: Pseudocalotes viserion
Lineage: Eukaryota; Metazoa; Chordata; Lepidosauria; Squamata; Agamidae
Description: partial tRNA-Cys
Source: RNAcentral